GACGAACGCUGGCGGCGUGCUUAACACAUGCAAGUCGAACGGUGAAGCGAGUGCUUGCACUCGUGGAUCAGUGGCGAACGGGUGAGUAACACGUGAGUAACCUGCCCAUCACUCUGGGAUAAGCACUGGAAACGGUGUCUAAUACUGGAUACGACCAACCCUUGCAUGGGGUGUUGGUGGAAAGAUUUAUCGGUGAUGGAUGGACUCGCGGCCUAUCAGCUUGUUGGCGGGGUAAUGGCCCACCAAGGCGACGACGGGUAGCCGGCCUGAGAGGGUGACCGGCCACACUGGGACUGAGACACGGCCCAGACUCCUACGGGAGGCAGCAGUGGGGAAUAUUGCACAAUGGGCGAAAGCCUGAUGCAGCGACGCCGCGUGAGGGAUGACGGCCUUCGGGUUGUAAACCUCUUUCAGCAGGGAAGAAGCGAAAGUGGCGGUACCUGCAGAAGAAGCACCGGCUAACUACGUG
This 469-nucleotide ribosomal RNA is filed under the name uncultured bacterium. Its description in RNAcentral is "partial 16S ribosomal RNA". It matches the Rfam family "Bacterial small subunit ribosomal RNA", at positions 28 to 507 of the family's 1533-position model. The record is from RNAcentral.